CAGAGUUUCUAUAACUCCCAAACCAUUGUGAACCUUACCUCAUACCGUUGCUUCGGCGGGCGGGCCGGCCCCAGGGCCGCGCCCCCCAGGCCCCUCGCGGGGCGCCCGCCGGAGGAAACCAAACUCUUGAUUAUUAUGGCCUCUCUGAGUCUUCUGUACUGAAUAAGUCA
This 170-nucleotide unclassified non-coding RNA is filed under the name uncultured Chaetomium. Its description in RNAcentral is "sequence contains ITS1". The record is from RNAcentral. Lineage: Eukaryota; Fungi; Ascomycota; Sordariomycetes; Sordariales; Chaetomiaceae.